GGUUAAGCGACUAAGCGUACACGGUGGAUGCCCUGGCAGUCAGAGGCGAUGAAGGACGUGCUAAUCUGCGAUAAGCGUCGGUAAGGUGAUAUGAACCGUUAUAACCGGCGAUUUCCGAAUGGGGAAACCCAGUGUGUUUCGACACACUAUCAUUAACUGAAUCCAUAGGUUAAUGAGGCGAACCGGGGGAACUGAAACAUCUAAGUACCCCGAGGAAAAGAAAUCAACCGAGAUUCCCCCAGUAGCGGCGAGCGAACGGGGAGGAGCCCAGAGCCUGAAUCAGUGUGUGUGUUAGUGGAAGCGUCUGGAAAGGCGCGCGAUACAGGGUGACAGC
This 334-nucleotide ribosomal RNA is filed under the name Escherichia coli. RNAcentral describes it as "partial 23S ribosomal RNA". It matches the Rfam family "Bacterial large subunit ribosomal RNA", at positions 1 to 371 of the family's 2925-position model. Lineage: Bacteria; Pseudomonadati; Pseudomonadota; Gammaproteobacteria; Enterobacterales; Enterobacteriaceae. RNAcentral also lists the same sequence under 1 other name. The record is from RNAcentral.